GCCUAUAUGAAGUCGGAAUUGCUAGUAAUCNCGGAUCAGCAUGCCGCGGUGAAUACGUUCCCGGGCCUUGUACACACCGCCCGUCACACCAUGAGAGUCGAUAACACCCGAAGCCUGUAGUCUAACAGCAAUGAGGACGCAGUCGAAGGUGGGAUUGAUAAUUAGGGUGAAGUCGUAACAAGGUAUC
Molecule: ribosomal RNA, 187 nt
Filed under: uncultured bacterium
Lineage: Bacteria
Description: partial 16S ribosomal RNA
Rfam family: Bacterial small subunit ribosomal RNA
Source: RNAcentral